Molecule: long non-coding RNA, 2499 nt
Filed under: Zea mays
Lineage: Eukaryota; Viridiplantae; Streptophyta; Magnoliopsida; Poales; Poaceae
Description: long non-coding RNA (ZMAY_LNC004245)
Source: RNAcentral
AAUGUCAUAAUAUAAUCAGAGUACUUAUUACAUAGCGGAAGACUUACAAAAUAAAAUAUAAAUAUAGAUCAAACUAAAAUCCAUCCUUGGCGCCAUAAAGUCAAUUAGGAGACGCCACCUAGAUCGAAUCGAACUUCUCAUUGUGGCUCCUCUUGAACCACAUGUUCUUCUCCUAUGGGGGUGUGAGACAGCAAGGGUGAGCUCACAAAUGUUCAUCGCUCAACAAGUUGUGGGGAAUAAUGUGUAUGAAGUCACCAAAGGUGGGAGUUCAUGUGAUGUGUAAAGUUGAUCAACAAUAGGGGUUAAAGAUGAGCAUUGCUUUUAAUACGUUGGUCAAAUUUUAUUAGCAAUUACUAGAUGUAUGUAAAUAUCAAUCCAUAAUAAAUAAUAGAACAAAAUUAAUGAAUAUACCCAUGCAAUGCAAAUGAUAAAUUGAAUUUAAGUUCCAUAAAUUAAUCAUGCGAGAGUCCUGAGCUGCUCUUGACCGUGAGCUCAGCUAGUAUACCAGUUUUACACUCUGCAGAGGUUGUACCCUGUAACCACAAGUCGUGUAUCCCAUGUCACCAGGGUUAGCUAGACCCUUAGACACUACCAAGGUGAAUGGCUAGGGAUCCACUACGAGGCCUUUACAAAGUUCCACUAGCUUCUGAAAACCCGCUACAGUUUAUGGGAAGAGCACUUGCAAGAAUCCCUCGUCUGACCGCCAUCGCAACAAAAUCAACCUGAGAACCUCCCUGCAUGCAACUCCCCUACUACCCUUGCCCCUUUCGGGUAAGGUAGUCUUCCACUAGCUUUCCUAAUUAGUCAGCCAAGGGCAUCCCAUUCCACCCUUGUGGUGGCACGUAUUUCUCAAGUUAAGCUCCAUGUUCCAAUUAAAGAUAAUGAUGAUCUUGACAUGAACAUAAAUAACAUAACAGAAUAAUUGGAACAUGGAUAUAAUGAAAUAUUAACCCAAAACUAUAUAAAAGCAAUAGCAAAACUACUCAAGUGAUUCAGGGGUAAACAAGGUAAAAGAAUAUCAGACUAGGGUGACCUAUUGGGUCCCAUCAAAAUUAAACCUAUGCGGGCUCGAGAAUCACUAAAAUCGGAGUUACGGUUAAGUCGUUAUGAUUUUAUAGAGGAUUUAUGUGAUUAAAAUAUUAAACUUUAUUAUAAAUUGGUUAAUAUAUAUCAUAUAUGAGGUUAUUCUAUAAAUAAUUAUCCCUACUUUAAUCUAAGUUAUAAAUUGACCAUAGAUCAUAUUCUAGUAGUUUAUAAUGAUAAGCAGAUUAACAAGACUAACCAACAUAGGUUAAAUAAAAGUCUAGUUAUAAAAGAAUGAAACAUGGUACAAUAAAUGUUAUUAUUGCAUAGUAAAUAUUUAUACGAGACUAACGCAACUGGAACGAGUCAAUUCGGAAUUAAAACGAAGGAGUUAUGAUUUUCUGAAGAUUCUAUGUGUUUUGUACAAGAUUAAAUAGGACAUAAAUUUUUAAUGUGACUAUCAUGUCAAAUCAGUGGCACUAAUUGAUAAACAAUAAUCUUACAAAAUUAUAGGAACUGAAAUAGACUCAUUUGGAUUUAAUAUGAAUUUUCUAUAGAUUUAACAAGAUUUUGGAAUCGUUUUUAUAGAAGAAAUUCAUUUUAUAAAUCAAUUUCUCUGAUUUUCCAUUUCCCUAGACCGCGCCUCAAAUAUCAGAGAAUACAGGGUCUAGGAUGCAAAACAUCUAAGACUCAGUGAAUAGAAUCCCUGGACUGCGGGUUGGUUCCCGUUUUGCGCGGGGCCUCUUUAGCAAAUGUGCUAGCCGAAGGGGUAUGGAGAAUCCCCAUCCGUCCGAUCCCUAAUAGACGCGUUAGAUUAUCUUCAAUUAAAUCCGAACCGUUAUUCUAUACGCGCCCUUAGAUCUGGAUAUUACGGUUCACGGCCGAUCCGCGGGUUGGAUCGCACGACCGGAUCCAACCGUUUGUUCCCAACGGACGGUCCCGAUUCAAAGAAAUCCGCUCGCCGGCCAACUCUAAUCCCGAUCGUCCAAACAGGAUCCAACGAUCCAGGCCUCGUCACCUACCUUCCGCUGAGAACACGCCUAGUGAGCCCUGGCCGCGACGCCCUCGACGGCAGUCAAGGAUCCGCCUCCCUGGCGAGCAGGCGACCAACAGAGAAGGCUAUGGAUUGGAGCGGGGAUAAUUCUUACGCAUCACACAAACAAUGGCGAACUGCAGAGAUGCCCUCACCGCGAUUGGAGGCGACCGCGCGACAUCGUUUCUUCGAGGCGAGGUGCCGGUGCUCUAGCUUGAUGUCGCUGAGAACGCCGCCCGCCACGCGUGUUAUGAACCCAGACGCACUCCACCCUGGUGCACCAAGAUCGCACACUCGUACCUCCUCGACAAUGGUCCACCCUAAUGUUUCCACCGACUGCUUCCUGGCCAAUCCCGAUCUGUGGUCGACGCUAGCAGAGCGUAAUGGGAGGCGAAGGAAGGAGCUAGGUCAGACGGCUACUUAUUGGUGGAGAGUUUUUUUCC